This 253-nucleotide ribosomal RNA is filed under the name uncultured bacterium. RNAcentral describes it as "partial 16S ribosomal RNA". It matches the Rfam family "Bacterial small subunit ribosomal RNA", at positions 524 to 776 of the family's 1533-position model. The record is from RNAcentral.
UACGUAGGGUGCAGGCGUUAAUCGGAAUUACUGGGCGUAAAGCGUGCGCAGGCGGUUUCUUAAGUCAGAUGUGAAAGCCCCGGGCUUAACCUGGGAACUGCGUUUGAAACUGGGAGACUGGAGUGUGGCAGAGGGGGGUGGAAUUCCACGUGUAGCAGUGAAAUGCGUAGAUAUGUGGAGGAACACCGGUGGCGAAGGCGGCAUCCUGGACCGAGAUUGACGCUGAGGCGCGAAAGCCAGGGGAGCAAACGGG